RNAcentral lists this ribosomal RNA (168 nucleotides) under uncultured rumen bacterium. RNAcentral's name for it is "partial 16S ribosomal RNA". It matches the Rfam family "Bacterial small subunit ribosomal RNA", at positions 340 to 524 of the family's 1533-position model. The record is from RNAcentral.
UACGGGAGGCAGCAGUCGGGAAUAUUGCGCAAUGGAGGAAACUCUGACGCAGUGACGCCGCGUGCAGGAAGAAGGUUUUCGGAUUGUAAACUGCUUUAGUCAAGGAAGAUACAAGACAGUACUUGAAGAAUAAGCACCGGCUAACUAUGUGCCAGCAGCCGCGGUAAU